AAAAUGUCCUCUGCUUAUAUGGAAUUCUAUACGAUAGUUUGGUAGGAGUGGGGCCAAGCUCCCAGGUGACAUUGAUGCUGCUGAUCAAUGGACCACUCUUUGAAGAGCACUGACGGCCUUAUGGGACAUCAAAGACCUUUGGCUUUGCUCUGUUUGACUUUAGAGUUAAACUCAAAAUAAACUACGCCGCUUGAAUGUCCCCUCACACAAGUCCCAUGCAAACAUGUUGGUGAGUCGUUUGAAUGAGUAUAAACAGUUCAUAUAUACGAGAGAGAAUUAAUAGGAUGUGACAUUAACACAUUCUCACAAUUUACGUUUGCAAACAGUUGAGGGUGAUCGCAGAACAGCACUAUCUGUGAAACUGGCAUUGGGAAACUGUUGUAUUCACCAGAGUGAUAGCAGAGAAUGAAAGACUCUGAAAAUUUGUUGCAGGCUUAUUUUUCUUGUUCUUGAAUGAAACCAUGGAUAGGCAUCUCCAUUUACAUUCAAGAAAGAAAAAACCCUCCAGUUACUGUCGGAAAUAAAAUGUCAUGUCUUCAAGAGCUAGCUCGAAGGAGCUUUCACUGACCAACUCAAGAACAAUUUGAGCACCAAGAUACACAAUAACAGUACAGGAUUAUAACCUUUUGAGUGAAAAAGCAAAGCAUGAGUUCAGACCAAUUACAUAAUCAACACAUAAACUAAUGAGGAAGAAGAGAAAGCUCUGACCAGCAAUACAGAACCAACUAAUAAAUGCAGAAAAAAUAAUAGGAUUAGAAAAUAAUCUUAUGGCAACCAUCACUGUAACAAUUAUUCCAAGCAAAAGUCAUCCAUGCAUGCUGAAAUUAGUGGGUAAAAGUCAUUGGAAUAAUAGGAAAUUUAUGUAG
This 866-nucleotide long non-coding RNA is filed under the name Capra hircus (goat). RNAcentral's name for it is "lncRNA (ENSCHIG00010009919.1)". The record is from RNAcentral. Lineage: Eukaryota; Metazoa; Chordata; Mammalia; Artiodactyla; Bovidae.